CCUACGGGAGGCUGCAGUGAGGAAUAUUGGUCAAUGGACGAGAGUCUGAACCAGCCAAGUAGCGUGAAGGAUGACUGCCCUAUGGGUUGUAAACUUCUUUUAUAUAGGAAUAAAAUGUUCCCCGUGUGCCAUUUUGUAUGUACCUUAUGAAUAAGGAUCGGCUAACUCCGUGCCAGCAGCCGCGGUAAUACGGAGGAUCCGAGCGUUAUCCGGAUUUAUUGGGUUUAAAGGGAGCGUAGUUGGGUUGUUAAGUCAGUUGUGAAAGUUUGCGGCUCAACCGUAAAAUUGCAGUUGAGACUGGCAGCCUUGAGUACAGUAGAGGUGGGCGGAAUUCGUGGUGUAGCGGUGAAAUGCUUAGAUAUCACGAAGAACUCCGAUUGCGAAGGCAGUUUACUAAACUGCCACUGACACUGAGGCUCGAAAGUGUGGGUAUCAAACAGGAUUAGAUACCCGGGUAGUC
RNAcentral lists this ribosomal RNA (460 nucleotides) under uncultured bacterium. RNAcentral's name for it is "partial 16S ribosomal RNA". It matches the Rfam family "Bacterial small subunit ribosomal RNA", at positions 338 to 795 of the family's 1533-position model. The record is from RNAcentral.